CUCGGGCACGGCUGAGGGACUUCAAAGCUUCUAGCCAAUAAAUAGUCACUUUGCUUCCCCUUCUCUGUCCUUCGUUUGGAAGCUCCAAUCAGCGUCUCCUUCCCUUUUUUCAUCAGUCUCAUGGGGCGUCUGAGCCAAUCAGCAGCUGGUUUCCUUUCCCCGCCCUUUCAUGUCACGUGGUAAACGAAAGUCAAUCAGCAACCGAGGUUUUUGAAAUAUUUUCCGUUAAACGUGAGAACCAAUCAGCAUCCACUUUCCAUUAACGUUACACAUCUCGCAGGGUUAAUUCGAGCCAGUAAGCGGCCCCUUUCCUUUCCGAUCCCCCUCCCAUUUUCUUUAUGGUACGUCCGAACCAAUCAGCAGCUGCCUUCCCUACCCCCCCUUGACAUCUCAUGGUAUGUGCCAUACCUUUAAAAGGGAUUGUGCGGGGCGUAUUUUCCCCUUUUUCUCGUUGAAAUUCGCAAGGCCUGAAGUUGCGCUGUUACACAGCUGUGCCGCCGCCGCCGCCGGAUGGAGCGCGACCUCCGAGGGCUGGAGCUGCCCUGGCUGCCUGCGCGGGAGAUGUGGCCGGCCGCCGAGCCCCCCCGGGGAACAGAGUGCCAAGUCCUUGAGAUGAGCCGGCAGGGAUUUGCCUGGAAAGCUGGGAGUAGAGGUCAAAGCUUUGAGGGGCUAGUCCCACCUGAGUUUGGAAAGUUUUUUUUUUUGGAAGAAUAAUGAGAGCGGUAGCUGAGCUGCUGAACACCUUCAAAUACAGAGUAUUUCAGGUUUGAUUCCUUUACACCUCUAAGAAGAGCUGGAAAAACUGCUUGAAACUGUGGAGAGUUGUUGCUGGUGGUUGCUGUCGAAGGGACUAGGCUAGAGAGACUGAAGGUCUUGCUGUGUAUGAGUAGCAUUACUUAACUGUUCAUAGCAAUGCAGAGGAGCUAGAUUUGUCCGCUGCCCUCUUCCUUUCCACUGAACACUUGAAUAUAUUGGCCUGUCCAUAGAAAACAUCUUGAACACAAGAGACGGGAAAUGCAACUUUAUUCUUCUGUUCAGCAGCAGAAUUGAGAAUCAAGGCUAGUGGAAAAGCCAAAUACUGUGCUUGCACACAUCUCAAGAGGAGCUCCUUCAGUAGCUGAAACAGCUGGGGGAACUUGGCAGCGGCCUUCAAAGCAGUUUUACUGGCUCAAACAUUGUGGUGUGCCAGGAUGGCCCAUGACUUCACCCUGAGGCCUGGGCCAGAGGACUGUAAUACUCCAGUGCAACCUACACUCUGCUUUAAAGCUUUCUGGAAGAUGGCUCCGAGACAACCGGAGGGACCUUUGGUCUGCAUUGUUUUUUGGAAGUAAACCAAGUGUUAUGCUGCUCUGAAAUCUUUAGAUCCUGGCAGUUUAUACAUACAUACCAAUAAGUAACAGAUGAGUAAAUAAGGAAAAGAUGAUCACUGUUUCUAUAACUUGAAGGGCAAAGAAUAGAAACCAUGUUUGGAAAGUGCAAUAGUUAUAAAGGCAAUUAUGAGCCAGUGUGGUGAGGUGGCAAAAAUGUUGGAUUGGGGACUUGGAAGAUGUGGUUUCCAGUCCAUACUUGUCCAUGAAGCUCACUUGGUGACUUUGGGCCUGUCACUUGUGCUAAGUUUAACCUACCUCACAGGGUUGUAAGGAUAAAACCGAGUGGAGAAGGAAUAUGCAAGGCACUGGGUUUCUUGCAAGGGGAAAAAGCAGGGUAUAAAUGUGAAAUAGACAAGGCUACAUGCCAACAGACUAUCAGCUGUGCUUUCAAUCAAAACUUUACCUUGUGAAUGCGUUGCUUUCAUUAAGUUUUUAGCUUGCUUCCCAACACAAUAAUUGAAGAUGAUUUUGGUAUUUAACUCGUGCAUCUAUAGUCCAAUUACCUGGCUAAUUUCUAUUCUAAUACCAGACAAAUUGUAUCCUGCUUGGAAAGUGGAUGGAGUUAAUUCUGUAUCAGCGAUGUAAAAUGUAUUAUUUCAUUCAUUAUCAUGGUGCUUCCAAGCCUUUUUCCCACCCUACUGGAAAACAUGCUGUGAGGAUCCUUGUAAAUGCAAAUGUAAAACCUUAACACAAAUGAGUAUUAAAUGACAUUGUUAUGUGCA
Varanus komodoensis (Komodo dragon) is the source of this 2092-nucleotide long non-coding RNA. RefSeq lists it as uncharacterized. The transcript is spliced from 6 exons. Lineage: Eukaryota; Metazoa; Chordata; Lepidosauria; Squamata; Varanidae. The record is from RefSeq and is a predicted model, not a curated record.